AGAGUUUGAUCCUGGCUCAGAUUGAACGCUGGCGGCAUGCCUAACACAUGCAAGUCGAACGGAAACGAUGCUAGCUNGCUAGCAGGCGUCGAGUGGCGGACGGGUGAGUAAUGCAUAGGAAUCUACCUAAUAGUGGGGGACAACCUGGUGAAAACCAGGCUAAUACCGCAUAAUCCCUACGGGGCAAAGCAGGGGACCUUCGGGCCUUGCGCUAAUAGAUGAGCCUAUGUCGGAUUAGCUAGUUGGUGAGGUAAUGGCUCACCAAGGCGACGAUCCGUAGCUGGUUUGAGAGAAUGAUCAGCCACACUGGGACUGAGACACGGCCCAGACUCCUACGGGAAGCAGCAGUGGGGAAUAUUGCACAAUGGAGGAAACUCUGAUGCAGCAAUGCCGCGUGUGUGAAGAAGGCCUUAGGGUUGUAAAGCACUUUCAGUAGGGAGGAAAAGUAAGUAGUUAAUAACUGCUUACCCUGACGUUACCUACAGAAGAAGCACCGGCUAACUCCGUGCCAGCAGCCGCGGUAAU
Molecule: ribosomal RNA, 525 nt
Filed under: uncultured bacterium
Lineage: Bacteria
Description: bacterial SSU rRNA
Rfam family: Bacterial small subunit ribosomal RNA
Source: RNAcentral